This is a long non-coding RNA of Bubalus bubalis (water buffalo), 290 nucleotides long. RefSeq lists it as uncharacterized. Lineage: Eukaryota; Metazoa; Chordata; Mammalia; Artiodactyla; Bovidae. The record is from RefSeq and is a predicted model, not a curated record. The transcript has 2 exons.
CAGCUAGCCAAAGAGGCUAGAUGCAGCCUGCACUCAUCCCAUUUGCUCCUGCAGUAAAACAGGAGGAUCAGAGAGCACGUGAGUGAAUGAGCACAUACCCACUGUUCAUCUUGCAAGAAAAAGAGAAUUUGGGGAUGUGAGAAAAUAAAAUGUGCUUGGACUUCAAAGCAAAACACAUCAAGAGUGGCAAGAAAAACACUAACUUACUUCACUGGUAAUGGUUGCAGGAUCAUCUACUGCCAUCAUUAAGUCCGAAGCUAAGAAGUUGAAAAUGAGAUUAGUGAUAUCAG